Long non-coding RNA from Gavialis gangeticus (Gharial), 309 nucleotides. RefSeq lists it as uncharacterized. The transcript is spliced from 2 exons. NCBI's taxonomy places the organism in Eukaryota, Metazoa, Chordata, Crocodylia, Gavialidae. The record is from RefSeq and is a predicted model, not a curated record.
UACAGAUUACCAGACCUGGUGAAAACCAAACAGGAUGAUGCAUCAAAAAAAGAGUAGGGGAAGGGAGAGAUAGUUUCUUGAGACUGGGCCACCCGUAUAACUUCAGCAGCUGCAUUCCUUACUAUCAGCUCUUCACUCUGCAACAGGAGAACCACGCAUUUCCACAUGGUCAGCGUAUCGGAAAGACCUGAACAUUUACAGAGAGGGAAAGAAUUUAGAUUUUUGCUCUUCACAAGGCAAAUCAGAACAGUUACAGAAAUAUGUACUUCCUCAUCUAAACAUACCAAAAAUGUAAUAAAAUAUUCAAAA